UACGGAGGGUGCUAGCGUUGUUCGGAAUCACUGGGCGUAAAGCGCGUGUAGGCGGCCCUGCAAGUCGGAUGUGAAAUCCCACGGCUCAACCGUGGAAGUGCAUUCGAAACUGCAGGGCUAGAGUCCUGGAGAGGAAGGUGGAAUGCUUGGUGUAGAGGUGAAAUUCGUAGAUAUCAAGCGGAACACCGGUGGCGAAGGCGGCCUUUUGGACAGUGACUGACGCUGAGACGCGAAAGCGUGGGGAGCGAACAGG
RNAcentral lists this ribosomal RNA (253 nucleotides) under uncultured bacterium. RNAcentral's name for it is "partial 16S ribosomal RNA". It matches the Rfam family "Bacterial small subunit ribosomal RNA", at positions 524 to 776 of the family's 1533-position model. The record is from RNAcentral.